RNAcentral lists this ribosomal RNA (481 nucleotides) under Tetrias fischerii. Its description in RNAcentral is "partial large subunit ribosomal RNA". It matches the Rfam family "Bacterial large subunit ribosomal RNA", at positions 1913 to 2598 of the family's 2925-position model. The record is from RNAcentral. Lineage: Eukaryota; Metazoa; Arthropoda; Malacostraca; Decapoda; Pinnotheridae.
UGAUAUUUUUUAAGAGCCGCGGUAUUCUGACCGUGCAAAGGUAGCAUAAUUGUUAGUUUUUUAAUUGGGAUCUUGUAUGAAUGGUUGGACAAAAGAAAAUCUGUCUCUUAGAUUAUAAUUGAAUUUAACUUUUAAGUGAAAAGGCUUAAAUUAAUUAAAAAGACGAUAAGACCCUAUAAAGCUUUAUAAAUAAUUUCUAUUCAGUUAAAUUAUAUUAUAAAAAUUUAGUAGUUGUAUUUAUUUUAUUGGGGUGAUAAAAGUAUAAUUAUUGUUAACUGCUUGAUUAUCAUACAAAAUAGUUGGAUAAAAUAAUUAAAGAUCCUAAUUAAAGAUUAAAAGAUUAAGUUACUUUAGGGAUAACAGCGUUAUUUUUUUUGAGAGUUCUUAUCGAAAAAAAAGUUUGCGACCUCGAUGUUGAAUUAAAAUAUCUAAGUAAUUGUAGCAGUUACUUAAGAGGGUCUGUUCGACCUUUAAAUUUUUA